CCGGGGAAGCGCUGGCUGUGCGCUGCAGCAUCGCUUCCACUGAGCAGCGAGGAAGGGGCUCGGUCAAGUUCUGCUCAGCAGCAUUGCCGGCCCUGUCCCGGGAGCUGGGCGCUGGCGCGGGCUCGCACUACCUUCCCCUCGGCAUGGAUUGCAGCGCUGGGCGAGAAGGAACACGCCGCCAGGCGGUUCUGAGUUUCCAUUCAGAUGGGGGAGCAGCUUUCAAAGCCUGCGCUGUAAGGGAGCGGGACUAGCAGGCGAGUGUGACUUUUUCCUGUGAGAGACGCCACAAGUAAGAGCCACCAGGCCUCCCUUCCUUGGACAUUCAGAACGACCAG
Molecule: non-coding RNA, 335 nt
Organism: Leptonychotes weddellii (Weddell seal)
Lineage: Eukaryota; Metazoa; Chordata; Mammalia; Carnivora; Phocidae
Source: RefSeq, a predicted model, not a curated record